CCUACGGGCGGCAGCAGUGGGGAAUAUUGGACAAUGGGGGGAACUCUGAUCCAGCGACGCCGCGUGAGUGAAGAAGUAUUUCGGUAUGUAAAGCUCUAUCAGCAGGGAAGAAAAUGACGGUACCUGACUAAGAAGCCCCGGCUAACUACGUGCCAGCAGCCGCGGUAAUACGUAGGGGGCAAGCGUUAUCCGGAUUUACUGGGUGUAAAGGGAGCGUAGGCGGGGCAGCAAGUCUGAUGUGAAAGGUCGGGGCUCAACCCGGGGGCUGCGUUGGAAACUGUUGGACUGGAGUGCAGGAGAGGUAAGCGGAAUUCCUAGUGUAGCGGUGAAAUGCGUAGAUAUUAGGAGGAACACCAGUGGCGAAGGCGGCUUGCUGGGCUUUAACUGACGUUGAGGCUCGAAAGCGUGGGGAGCAAACAGGAUUAGAUACCCCUGUAGUC
RNAcentral lists this ribosomal RNA (440 nucleotides) under uncultured bacterium. Its description in RNAcentral is "partial 16S ribosomal RNA". It matches the Rfam family "Bacterial small subunit ribosomal RNA", at positions 338 to 795 of the family's 1533-position model. The record is from RNAcentral.